UUUAUUCGGCGACUUCGCGUUCUAUUUUUGUGUGUGACGGCAAGGAGAAUAUAGUUGUGACGGUUCUGUCCGGCGGAAAAGAUUUUAUUUCCCAAAUAAAUUGAUGAUAUUCGUUUGAAUCAUCGAAAUAUAUCUUGAAUUCCUCCCGAUUGCGGUUAAUCUUCAAGAUGCAGAACGGAGAAGAUGUGCCGGCGGCCACAGAAACCACCAAGAAGCCGAUGCCAGAAGAAGUGACGAAGCAGUCUUUCAGGCAGAAGGUAUGGCGACACCUGGAGACCAACGGCCUGGCCAUGUUCCCUCGCCCGGUCUACAACCGCAUCCCCAACUUCAAGGGCGCCCCUGAAGCCGCCGCCAAGUUGGCAGAACUGGAGGUGUUCAAGAAUGCCAACACCAUCAAAGUCAACCCCGAUAAGCCGCAGGAGCCUGUCAGAGUGAUUUGCCUAGAGCAGCAUAAGACGGUGUACGUGCCAGAGCCCAGGCUGCAGAACGGGUUCCUGAACCGGCUGGAGCUGCCUGACGGGGAGACGGGGCCCGCCGCCAUCCGCAAAGCCGUCUCACGUAACGGCAUGGAGACCUACGGCAAACCUAUUGGCAUCGAGGACUCAGUGUCCCUGGACUUGGUGGUGAUGGGGUCUGUCGCCGUCUCCAAGGAGGGGUACCGCAUUGGCAAGGGUAGAGGCUAUGGCGACUUGGAGUUUGGCCUGAUGAUGCACAUGAAGGCAAUCAAGCCCAACACACUGGUCGCUACCACUGUCCACGAUUGUCAGGUAUUCGACACCCUGCCCGCCGAGCUGUUUGGACCGCACGACGUGCCCAUUGAUAUCAUCGUCACACCAACCCAGGUGAUAGAGACGCAACGCAUGAGCCAGCGGCCAGGCGGCGUGCUGUGGCACUUGCUGUCCAACCGCCGUCUGCAACUGAUGCCGGUACUCGGACAACUGCGCGACAUUGAGAUGCUCGCGGGGCGCGCGUGCACGCUGAAGGAGGUGGACACGGACGUGGAGGACGGCGCCGCGCCGCGCCCACGGCGCAUGCGGCGGCGCACGCGCUCGCACAAGAGCCACAGCGAGGGGGAGGGCAACACGACAGAGGGCGAAGAAGGCAAGUCCACGGGCAAGCCCCGCCGCACGGCGCGGCGCCGCAACAGCAACAAGUCUGCCAAGGAGGGUGCUGAGCAGAAGCCGCGCCGCCCCAAGCGCCCGCGCCCCGCCAUCGACUUCUCUGUCAAGAUUUCGAACAUAAGCCCGAACAUUCGAGUCCGCGAUCUGAAGCAGGCGCUAUCCGAGCGUGGAGUCAAGCCGCAGAUCAUGGUGUGGAAGGGAUUCCGCGGUUUCUGCUACUUGCACUUCUUCAAGCCUGGACCACAAAAGGGCGAAGGCGACAGCACUACAACUAUAAACAUGGAGAGCGUCCUCGCAGCUCUCAACGAGAUGUCAGUGGGCGGCAGCGGCGGCGCCGACGAGCCGCGCGACGACAAACCGCGCCUGCUGACCGUGGAGCCCGCGCCGCCCCGCGCCGCCGCCGAGCCGCAGCCGCAGGAGGUAGGACCAGCACCCUAGGUCGGCACCAGCCGCGCCUGCAGCCCGUGGAGCCCGCGCCGCCGCCGAGCCGCAGCCGCAGGAGGUCCACUGAUUCCCUCGGCGCGCCCUCGACUCGACACGACUCUGAUCCACGCAACGAUGUCGCUUACUGCACACGGACUGACGGACCUCCUCAUUCCGACUCUAAUUGUUUUAAGGUUGAUUUUUCACGCCGGCCCGCGAAUUAGCAUUUCUCUAUUGCGUAUUUUAUUGUUUAGUUUUUGAGCCAAGUCGGCUGCAUAUUAAGCAAUAGAAGUUAAAAAGCUCGACCGGAGAAGCGAAGGAUUUUAGUUGACGUCGGCAUUAUGACGCUCGCUUGGUUUUUGUUUAUAUUACUUGCAUUCGGGCCGGCCCCUAGUGAGCUAUUUGAAACGCGAAAGUCUUAAAAGAAUGUUUAGUUUCUCUAGUCUAAAAUUAGCUAUGUAAUUUUAAAACGGCUUACUUUAUUUACGAUUUCUCGUUUCAAUGCGUACUUUUAAGCAUUCUUCCAUAUUAACUAUAUUAAAGAAGCUAUAUUUUUAGUAUAAAGAUAGCAUAGAACACUGAAUUAUAUAUUAAAGAGAUAUUUUUUAAUACUGUAAGGUGCUUGAGAACGGCAUUCCAAACUGCGUUUAGAAAUUAGUUUGGAAGGAUUUGAUUAGUGUUAAGAGUAUUUAUUUACACAACGCUAGUUUGGGGCGCCGUUCAGGUCUUGUUGUAUAUUUGUGCCAACUAUAAGUAACUGCAAGUAAUACUAUAAUCUCGUGUAUACGGUGUAGGGCCGCUUAACGUAAAUAAUCUCCUAGAGCUAACUUAUAACAUAUCGAUUAUAGUAAGUUGGUAUAAAUAUUAUCUCAACUCUAAGAUUGUCAGUUACUUUUUCAGUAUUAGGUUAAACGUAAAUUUAAGACUCGAAAAGUAAUAUAUUCUUGACAUAAUAAGAUGAAUAUUUAAACUAAUAUAUAUUUUAGAGUUGUGUCUAUCGCGCAAUAUUGGUCUCUUUUAGUGUUUAAAACAUAAAUAUUGUAUUUUAUAUAGAAGGGUCAAUUUUAUUGAUGUAUUUUUUGAAAAUUUUCGUUGAUCCUGGCAGCAUAAUAGAUUGAGAUACCUUAUUAAUAUAAGCGUUUGUCUGUUAUAGUUUCUUGUAGUACACUUGCACUGAAUGUGCCCAUAAGAUGUUAUAUCUCACGAUUUUAGCACUAUGAAAUAUAUAUUUAUGUAUAUAACUUGUUAACACAUGUUUACUUGUUUAUUUUGUAUUCUUAUAACGUUGGGAUAGCAAGCAUGGAUGAGUUUUUUUGUUUUGUAUUUUUUUAAAUAAAUCUAUUAAACACUUA
Pectinophora gossypiella (pink bollworm) is the source of this 2896-nucleotide RNA transcript. It is a transcript of the gene named methenyltetrahydrofolate synthase domain-containing protein, with no coding region annotated. The transcript has 13 exons. NCBI's taxonomy places the organism in Eukaryota, Metazoa, Arthropoda, Insecta, Lepidoptera, Gelechiidae. The record is from RefSeq and is a predicted model, not a curated record.